CCGACGUCACAGUGACUCGACUGUCGUGCGGAACGCAUCGCCGCAUGCCUGAUCGUACAGUGCACAGCGUGGAGACAAGUGCAUGCCGUAUCAGGUGUCAGACACUUGAAGCAAGUGCCUUCGGGUCGGGAGAAAACUAGUUACGUUCUUAGUCCCGCCGUAGACGUCGUGCAAGCUGCACGAUUGUGAGACGUUUGAUCGAUCGAUCGUAUCGAUCGUGUGUGGACACGAUCGUGUCCGUAGUCGGUGAUUGCAGUAUGAAGCUCCUUUGUUUGUUGAUGAUUCUUAGCGUCUGCGUGAAGAUCAGUCAUCAAAAAACGUCCCCAUGUCCGGCGGUGUUUUCGUACGAUGAGCGGGACGACACCCAUGACACCUGGUUCGGUACGAUACGCCUAAAAAGCAACGUACCCCUGUACGGUAUCUUUGUGGACAUUAUCUUUUCCUCCCCGGUGCUGGCAUUUGGGACAUUCCUGCGGCAGCACAACACGGACGAUAAUGUGCACUUCCACAUCAUGGACAAAUCGUACCGCGUGCGAGCGGGUGAGGUCGUGAUCGUUAAGUUCUACGUGCGGUACGCACCGGACAGACCGGUUCCGUUGCUUCGUCAGAUCCGGUUCAAUGGACAAAACAUUUGUACCGAAACGCGUCAAAAUCCGGUGCGUACGAAUGGACGCCCCGCCGGAACGAGCUAUGGCAAUGCGCACGUAGCAACAUCCUCUGAAACCGAUGAUAUCAUUGCCGAUGUCUACACACCACCCGUAGUACAACCGAUCAAUUCCCACGUAGCGCAUGCUCCCGUAGAAUCCCAGGUACAGCCGUUGUACUCCUCGAGUGCGUCGAGCUCGUCACGCGGUGGUACGGUGACCACCCGAGCUACCGAUGCCCACCACAAUCCCGCACACACUGGCGAAGUGUAUCCAUCACGAUUCAGUACCGAUGACCACGUGGAACACUCGUCUAGCACGUCCGGAAGUGGGGACGGGAAGGAUCACGACUCGGAUCGUCAGCGCAUAGCGAACAGGAGGGUCACUACAACGACCACUACCUACCGACCAAUAGCCGAGGAGCGUAUUUGGAACCAACCGUCGCAAAGAUCUAUUCCAUCCGAGCCGACAAGCCCACCGAAGCGUGUUUCGACCGUUCCACUGAUCGCCGACAAAGGCUUCACCACACUAGCGCCCAUCGCUCGCAGUACUACCGCGGGUGGCACUAACCGGGACCAGUACUUUGCCGGUGAUUACGCCUUCCUGCAGCACGAAAGUACACCCAAAGCCGGCCAAACGCACUACAUCAACAAGUACGAGGGAGACAUCUGCGGUACGGUUGUGCCGAAAGCGAAUCCCCUCGUAACGCACGGCACGGUGUCGGAGCGGGGCCAAUUCCCCUGGCACGGUGCACUGUACCGCAGUACGGUGACCGAGCUGAAGUAUCUCUGCGGGGCAACGCUGAUAUCGCGCCGGGCUAGCAUCACCGCGGCGCACUGUGUGACGCUGGAGAAAAGCUCCAAACCGGUCGAUGCGGGCAGUUUGCUGCUGUACUUCGGCAAGAUCGAUCUGAGCAAGUGGAACGGGCCGGAAGAGGACGCCCAGAUCCGGUCGAUCCACAUACCGGCCCAGUAUCAGCACGAGCGGUUCUUCAACGACAUUGCCGUGCUGGUGCUGAAGGAGGACAUCAAGUACAGCAACUUUGUGCGGCCCGUUUGUCUGUGGAACUUUGACGACGACUACAAGACGCUGAUCAACAAGAUCGGGUUCGUGCCGGGAUGGGGCUAUAAUGAGCAUGGGCUGGUCAGUUCGCGGCUCUCCUUCGCCCAGAUGCCGGUGGUGGCGCACGAAACGUGCAUCUGGUCGAACCGGGACUUCUUCAGCAAGGUCACCUCGGACACGUCGUUCUGUGCCGGGUUCAAGAAUGGCACUUCCGUGUGCAACGGUGACAGUGGCGGCGGCAUGGUGUUCAAGCACAACAACCUGUGGUACCUGCGAGGCAUAGUGUCGGUCAGUGCGGCGCUCCAGGAUCGGUUCCACUGCGACUCGAAGCACUACGUCGUGUUUACGGAUGUGGCCAAGUUUACGUCCUGGAUCAAGGGACUCAUGAAUGUGUUUGGCGCCAUUAUCAAUCCAAAGGGUCGGGAUUAUCGGUGCAGCAGGCGUGUGUUUGUGGGCGCCCUGCUCCGAAGCGCCGCCGUGCGAGCUCAACUCAUUCGGUUCGUGAUCUUCGAUCAGACAGGAGCUAGGAGCACACAGAAGAAGCAAAUAAAAAAAAAACAGAUCAGUCAGUCAAAGAUGUUGCGCGAGACAUCACUCCUGUCGCUGAUCCUCGGGUGGACAGCCGCUGGCGCUCUCGCCACCUACAUACGCGUGGGGCAAAGUGCAGAAGUGCGCCUACCAACGCCACAAGCGACCAGCUGCAGUGAUCUGUUUACGAUCGAUCACGAAGAUGCGUACCGGAAGCAGUACGAGGGUACGCUGGUGCUGCGGCCCAACGUUACGAUCCGUUACGUCCAGAUGGUGGUGCAGUUCGAUCGUCAAGUGGAGCAACUCACGAAUUACUUUGGAAGAAUCAGCACCAUCGACCAUCAGAGCUUUCACAUCGCCAAUCUAACGUACCCGUUGCGCGCUGGCACAGUGGUCAAGAUCCCGCUAGAAGUGUCCUACACCACCGGUUCCCCUCCGGCGGUCAGCCGAAUCGAAGUCAACGGCGUUACGAUCUGUCCUGUGGGCAAUUUAAGGUAAGCGAGCAUAAGCCUGUGUGCGUCAAAAUCGAAAACUUAAUUCAACCGUCUUAUCACCUCCAGACCUUUGAUCAGGAAUUUCCGUGAUCCAUGGACGGGAUCGGUACUGCCGGGCGCGAGUACCACGACCCAGCCGGAAGUACACUCGAAAAAUGGAACCACAGAACCGGCCCAUCAGUUCAACUCCUCUUGCCAGGCGAUUCGUACCGGGGUGAUCGUGUCGUCGGGCCGCUGGGACGCGGUUAUGAAUCUCGUGGCCGAAAACACGGUCGAUCGGGCGUUGAUAGAGAUCGUGUUCGAUCAGCCAGUGUACAUGUUGGGGAACCCUUUCGGCGAGGUGACGACGGAAGACAGCGUGCGGUUUAGGAUCGAAAACCGAACCUUCAUACUGGCGAAGGAUGCGGAGAUAGAGCUCAACUUCUUCAUCCGCUACAACCAGAUGGGACCGAUCCCGGACGUGGUGGAGGUGAAUUUCAACGGUCACAAUCACUGCCAACAACGAAGACGCCGUGUGUUGAACGAACCUGCCAGGGAGGAAGAACAUCGGAGAACCACAGGCAGGACUACCUCCACAACGGAACGUGCUACGGCGUGGGUAAAGUUGGAUCACACAACGGAAAGGACGCAUGAAAAUACCGGAUGGUCAUUGGAGCAGGAUGAGUGUGCAACAGUGUUGGAACCGGUCGGGACCCGUAUACGAUCGCGAAUCAUUGGUGGAGUUACGUCCAACCAGGGCGAACAUCCGUGGCAUGUGGCUAUCUAUCUGGAUGAGGAGUAUCAAUGCGGUGGCAGUAUCAUCGGAAGACGCUGGAUCCUAACGGCGGCCCACUGUCUGACGCGCCAAAACACGAACGAAACGCUGGACGUGGAUCUGUUCCGGGUGUACACGGGCAUCAUAGAUAUCAGUACGAUCGAUGAUCACUUUUACCGUACCGCCGAUGAGGUCAUUGUUCAUCGGGACUACAAUCCUGUGAUGUACACGACGGAUAUAGGGCUGCUACGGCUCAAGCGUAACAUCACCUACAACAGCUUUAUAAAGCCCGUCUGUCUCUACAAUCGUACGGUGGACAUUAGCACGUUCUAUGGCCGCGAGGGAAAGGUUACCGGCUGGGGAUUCAAUCGGGACGGCGUGAUCAGCAACGUGCUGAACUAUCUAGAGGUGCCGGUCGUGUCGCAAAAGAUGUGCUCCCAGCGGAAUGUACAGUUUAAUGGAGUACUGGCGGUAGGCGAAUCUUUCUGUGCCGGACAUGCCGAUGGCAACUCCGUAUGCAAUGGGGACAGUGGUGGCGGAUUAGUGUUUGCCGAAGGCCCACGGUACUACGUCCGCGGCAUCGUGUCGAUCAGUGCCCAGCGUCGGAACUUACUGCUCUGCGAUCCCAACCAGUACUCCGUCUUUACCGAUGUUUCCAAAUUCCUCAACUGGAUACGGCAGCAAGUAUCGUAGAUAGGCGGGCCGGCGCGUUACUCUUUUAUGGAGAGAAAAUAUUUAUUUCAAUCGACACAGCAAAAAUAGAACAGAACAACGAUUAAUAAAAAUGCUUCUGCGCACAAA
Molecule: RNA transcript, 4283 nt
Organism: Anopheles gambiae (African malaria mosquito)
Lineage: Eukaryota; Metazoa; Arthropoda; Insecta; Diptera; Culicidae
Exons: 11
Source: RefSeq, a predicted model, not a curated record